UCCCAGCAGUCCAAGUCGCAGCCACAAUUGUUGGGUCUAAAACAUCCGUAGCUUGUCUUUCAAGUCUUUUGUGAAAUCGGGCCUCUUAAGGGUCCGGCGUGCAAAAGAUACUGUAAGGCUAGAGACCGGGAGACGCAAGGAGUACGAAUAGGGUAGCGGUAAAAUGUGUUGAUCCUAUUUGGACUAACAAUAGCGAAGGCACCUUGCGAGAACGGAUCUGACAGUGAGGGAUGAAGGCUAGGGGCGCAAAGUG
Molecule: ribosomal RNA, 253 nt
Filed under: uncultured archaeon
Lineage: Archaea
Description: partial 16S ribosomal RNA
Rfam family: Archaeal small subunit ribosomal RNA
Source: RNAcentral